AAUCAACGCUGGCGGCGUGCCUCAGACAUGCAAGUCGGACGCGAAAGUCUCCUUCGGGGGACAAGUAGAGUGGCGCACGGGUGAGUAACACGUAGGUAAUCUACCUUCGGAUGGGGAAGUAACAACCGGAAACGGUUGCUAAUACCGCAUAAUGCAGCGGCACCUAAUGGUGACAGUUGUUAAAGCGGGGGAGUCGAAAGACCUCGCGUCUGAAGAGGAGCCUGCGGCGGAUUAGCUAGUUGGUAGGGUAACGGCCUACCAAGGCGACGAUCCGUAACCGGCCUGAGAGGG
RNAcentral lists this ribosomal RNA (291 nucleotides) under uncultured bacterium. RNAcentral describes it as "partial 16S ribosomal RNA". It matches the Rfam family "Bacterial small subunit ribosomal RNA", at positions 32 to 300 of the family's 1533-position model. The record is from RNAcentral.